AGUGAACGCUGGCGGUAGGCCUAACACAUGCAAGUCGAACGGCAGCACAGUAAGAGCUUGCUCUUACGGGUGGCGAGUGGCGGACGGGUGAGGAAUACAUCGGAAUCUACUUUUUCGUGGGGGAUAACGUAGGGAAACUUACGCUAAUACCGCAUACGACCUACGGGUGAAAGCAGUGGAUCUUCGGACCUUGCGCGAUUGAAUGAGCCGAUGUCGGAUUAGCUAGUUGGCGGGGUAAAGGCCCACCAAGGCGACGAUCCGUAGCUGGUCUGAGAGGAUGAUCAGCCACACUGGGACUGGGACACGGUCCAGACUCCUACGGGAGGCAGCAGUGGGGAAUAUUGGGCAAUGGGCGAAAGCCUGAUCCAGCCACACCGCGUGGGUGAAGAAGGCCUUCGGGUUGUAAAGCCCUUUUGUUGGGGAAGAAAAGCAGCAGGUUAAUACCCCGCUGUUCUGACGGUACCCAAAGAAUAAGCACCGGCUAACUUCGUG
RNAcentral lists this ribosomal RNA (492 nucleotides) under uncultured bacterium. RNAcentral describes it as "partial 16S ribosomal RNA". It matches the Rfam family "Bacterial small subunit ribosomal RNA", at positions 29 to 507 of the family's 1533-position model. The record is from RNAcentral.